This 3153-nucleotide unclassified non-coding RNA is filed under the name Hevea brasiliensis (rubber tree). Lineage: Eukaryota; Viridiplantae; Streptophyta; Magnoliopsida; Malpighiales; Euphorbiaceae. The record is from RNAcentral.
AAGAAGAAGAAGAAGAAGAAGAGGUAAUGUAAUAACAAUAGAAGGCCCGAAACCAGCAGCAGCAGUAGCCCUGAUUAUGGUCUCCAUUCCAUAACUAUACAUACAACUUUCUCUGCAAACCUACACUUUCUCUACCAUUUUUUUUUUUUAAUUUUUUAGACUCAACUAUUCCAUAACAAUUCGAAUAAAUAAAAAGAGAAUAUCUUCUCUGACCUCUGUAUCUUGUGCUCUCCAUUUCUUAAUCAAUAAUGCAACAAUUCUCGUCGUCAGAGAUCAUUUCUAGGGAGUAUAAAUCCUAAAAAACUGCACAGACCCUUUUCCAAAUCUUCUCCUUAUUCCUUUCUCUAUGAGUGUUGAGAAUUGCCCAUAGAGAAAAAAAAGCCCUCAAGACAAAUUUGUCAAUUUUUUUUUUGGUUUGAUGAAUUUGAUGAAAGUUUAGAGGAGGUAAAUUCUCGAAAGAAUCAAUAAUAUGGUGGAGGAGGAGGUGAAGCAUAUGAGAACCCAGUGAUCGGUGGCAGUGGCCCUUCGUACACUGGAGCUGGAGGAGGUGGACUUCCAUAGAUUAUGGCUGGAGGUGGUGGUGGAGGUGGAUUUGCACAUGGAACUGGAGGUGGUGGUGAGGGUGGCGAUGGAGAAUGGUAAAUUGGUGGUGGUGAGGGAGAAUGGUGAACUGGCGGUGGUGGAGAUGCAUACGUUACAGGUGGAGGCGGUGGUGAGUUAUAAACAGGUUGUGGUGGAGGUGGUGACGGGGAUGGUGGUGGCUUGUAAUGCGUUGGUGGUGGCGGCGAUGGUGGAGGUGGUGAAUACUCUAUACAUGGUGGUGGUGGUGGUGGUUCUAUACAAGGGGGUGGCGAUGGUGGUGGUGGCGAAUGGACGGGAGGAGGUGGAGAAUAGAUAGGUGGAGGCGGAGGUGACAAGUAUGGAUAGAAAGGUGGGGGAGGUGAAUGUGGGGGUGGUGGAGGCGAAUGUGGGGGUGGAGGUGGGGAGGGUGGAGGUGGAGAGCUGUAAUAGUAAGGAGUUGGCGGUGGAGGGGAAGAUAAUGGAGGUGGAGGUGGUGGAGAAUUUGGUGGAGGAGGUGGCGGGGGUCGCACACAAGGAGGCAACGGUGAAGGUGGUGGUGGAGAUGGAGGAGGAGGUGACGGUGGUGGUGGAUAUACUAAAGGCGGUGGAGGAGAGGGUGGGGGAGGAGAUGGUGGAGGUGGGGAAGGUGGAGGAGGGGGCGGAGAGUAAACUGGAGGAGGUGGCGGUGGUGGAGAAGGUAUUGGGGGAGGAGGAGGUGGUGGAGAUAAGUAUACAGGUGGUGGGGGUGACGGUGGAGGGGGAGGUGGCGAGUAUACUGGUGGUGGGGGUGAAGGUGGAGGAGGAGGUGGUAAGUAAACCGGUGGUGGAGGAGGAGGUGAGUAAACCGGUGGCGGUGGCGGAGGUGGUGAUAGAGGAAUAACAACUGGUGGUGGUGGGGAAGGUGGAGGAGGAGCAGGCAAAGAAGGAACAAAAGGCUUACAUCUGAACACACUACAAUCCACAGGCUUAAAUGCCCUGCAUUGGGCUGGAGACCUUUGUGACGGCCUCGCAGGCAAGCAAUUCUUCCUGUCAUCGAAGUCUCUGAGGCUCAAGCACACCGGCGGCUCUCCAGUGAAGAAGUUAUAAGAAAAGGUAAAGUUCUCCAAAUUGGGUAACUUGCAAAUACUAGGUGGAAUACUCCCAGAUAGCAUGUUAUGAGCCACAUUGAGCUGCUCAAGUCCAACAAUACCUCCAAAUGUGUCCGGCAAUGAACCCAUUAACUGGUUAAAGCUUACAUCAAAAACAUUCAAGUCCUUGAGCAUACCAAUCUCCGGUGGCAAACAGGACUUUAGAUUAUUAUUCAUGAGGAUGAUUUCAUUGAGAUUUGUCAUGUUACCCAAGCUUGAAGGCACACAGCCAUGGAACUUAUUGUUGGCUAAAACAAUAACAGAAACUGGGGAGUUGCCAAAAUUAUCUGGAAUAUCGAAAACGAACCUGUUGUGGUUGAUGAAGAUUGCAUCUAAAUCUUUAUCAAAUAGCUCUUUUGGUACAGCACCCUCAAAUUCAUUGAACCUCAGAUCCAAAAAUUUUAGCAUGGGUAGCUUGAGGACAACUUGAGGGAAUUUCCCAGCAAACCGGUUGUUGCUAAGAUCCAGCUCAAAAAGCAGUCCCAAGUCUUUGAACUUGUGAGGUACAGUUCCACAAAACCUGUUGGAGUUGAUGUGAAACAAUGCAAGAUCCACCAGCAAGCCAAGCUCCUCCGGUAAGUAGCCAGCAAUAUCACCGUGGUUGAGGUCAAUGCCGGCGACAGUAUUGAUGGUCUUGUUAUCGAGAGCGUGAGCACAGUAAACCCCAGUGUAGUGGCAAACAUCAGAUCCGACCCAAUUGGCAGUAAGAUUCAUAGGAUCAGAGAGGAUAGCUUGUUUCCAAGCUUGCAAUGCUAUAUAAGCAUUUCGAAGUCUUGGAUUCUCAAAAACUAGAGAUGGGUCUACAGUGACUCUCUCACCUCUAUCACCAAAUUCAUCUCUGUAAUAAAGAAGCUGGCGCUUCCUGAUGUACAUAGCUUCAGCAUCAGUGAGGCGUCCAUGGGAGGGGAUUGUCGGGAUCUGCUGAGAAGCAGCAGAAGAGAAGCACACAAUUGUGCCAAGAAAGAAGAAGGCAAUGAGAAGAGAGAAAUGAGGAUAGAAGUGGGUCUUCUUCCUCAUCUCACAUGAGACGUCCGCUCUAGCAAAUGCCACUCUCUGUUUAUUUAUCUUGGCUGUUCUGUAUGUACCUCAACCAAGAAAAUGGGUUUUGCAAGAAAUGCUCUGAAACUCAAAAUGGGUGUUGGCCUGAGAUCUGAGAGAGAAAGAAAUAGAGAGACAGAUUUUGUUUUGGGGUUUGAGGAGAGAGAGGGGGAGAAUGGGGGAGAGGGUUUUUUCAAGGGAUUUUGGAGGUGUGUGAAGGAGAAAAAAUAAUGAACUAAGAGACAGCUAAAUCACAGCUAAAAGUCCACCAGAUUCUCUCUCACACUAUCCUUCAUUCUUAAUUUUUCAUUUUUUAAAUUUAUGUUAAAAAUAUGCUCCCAUUAUAUGUCACUUUUAUUUUUAUAUGAAAUUCUGUCCCAUGAGAACCUAUCUUUGUUCUUUAUUUUAGAUAUUCUCCCAUUAAAAA